This 57-nucleotide unclassified non-coding RNA is filed under the name Caenorhabditis elegans. RNAcentral describes it as "partial CeN55". The record is from RNAcentral. Lineage: Eukaryota; Metazoa; Nematoda; Chromadorea; Rhabditida; Rhabditidae.
CCCGCGCCUAGAAACUCAGCGGUGUUUUGUCUUUAUGAUCAUGAGCUGGUAGCAGGU